AAAAAAUCUUCUAGGAGCAGCUAACAAGAAUCCUAAUACAGGAGUGUUUAUGGUUGGGUUGAGACACAUUCAGUAGCUGAGUGAUUGACAGCAAGAGGAGCAAGACAUGAGGUUAAUAAUUAUCAAAUAUAUGGCAAUGCUGGACUUUAGCUGAUCAUCGUGCUUCUGGAAAACAACAAAAAUUGAGAUAUCUGUUCACCACUUUGUGUGUCCAAGGACCACCUACUUUUUACAUGUGACAAGAACUACCCACCUCCACUCUUCAGGAUAGAACAUGCUGAAGAAAAGAGUUGCAAUGAGAAAAUAUAUGGGAACAAAAUACCUAUGCAAUGCAGAAGUCUGCAUAACUGAACCACUCAGAGGAAAAAGUUUCCCUCCCAGGCUGGAGUACAAUGGCGCGACCUCGGCUCACUGCAACUUCCACCUCCCAGUUCAAGCAAUUCUCCCACCUCAGCUUCCUUAGUAGCUGGGAUUACAAGUGCCUGACACCAGGCCAAGCUAUUUUUGUAUUUUUAGUAGAGACGGGGUUUCACCAUUUUGACCAGGCUGGUCUCAAACUCCUGACCUCAGUCCAUCGGUCCACCUCGGCCUCCCAAAGUGCUGGGAUUGCAGGCAUGAGCCACCGCUCCUGGCCUCAAGUUUAAUUCUUAAAUUGCCAUUUCAGGACACCUCCUACAUCUGAGGAAAUAUGCAUUGAUCUUGCAGUACUUUUCUCCUCCAAAUAAAAGUCAGUAUGAUAACAACUACACUAUCAGAACUUAUCAAGGGAACUAAACAGGUGGCUUUACAAGAAGAGUAAGAGA
Molecule: long non-coding RNA, 803 nt
Filed under: Homo sapiens (human)
Lineage: Eukaryota; Metazoa; Chordata; Mammalia; Primates; Hominidae
Description: HSALNT0294385
Source: RNAcentral